UACGGAGGGAGCUAGCGUUGUUCGGAAAUACUGGGCGUAAAGCGCACGUAGGCGGCGCAGCAAGUCAGGGGUGAAAUCCCGGGGCUCAACCCCGGAACUGCCUCUGAAACUGCAGUGCUAGAAUCUUGGAGAGGCGAGUGGAAUUCCGAGUGUAGAGGUGAAAUUCGUAGAUAUUCGGAAGAACGCCAGUGGCGAAGGCGACUCGCUGGACAAGUAUUGACGCUGAGGUGCGAAAGCGUGGGGAGCAAACAGG
RNAcentral lists this ribosomal RNA (253 nucleotides) under uncultured bacterium. RNAcentral describes it as "partial 16S ribosomal RNA". It matches the Rfam family "Bacterial small subunit ribosomal RNA", at positions 524 to 776 of the family's 1533-position model. The record is from RNAcentral.